UCAUUGUUGGAACAAGAACAUUUGUGAAUAAGUCCCUCUUCUGUUCCAGCAAGAUAAAAAUUAGUAUCCUGUAAUAAAGAACACAGGCUGUGACUUUUGACUCCGGAAAACCUUGGACUUUCUGUGAAUGCUCUGCAGAGUUGCUCCAUGCACACAGAGCCAAGUGUUCAGGGUUUGCAGAUGCCAGUGAUCCACAUGGACAAAUGCAUGAAUCCUUCAAAUGCUCUGUGGACAAAAAUUUCAGCUGGAUAACGAGGAGAAGCCUGGACAUUAGAGUCCUGGACUCAGGAGAUGCUGAACACAAAUUCUCACAGAUCUGACCACCGUACCUGGUAAAGCUACCGUAGGAUUUGGGCCAAAGCAAACCCUAACAUAGAACUUUACUGUAGAACAGAAAAUGGAUUGGAAGGGAGAAACCUUGAAUUUAAAAUACAGAUAAUCUCUGUAAUCAGAGGUUGGAAGUAUUGAAGAAAUUGACUAUGGAUUUUGAAAAAACA
Molecule: long non-coding RNA, 497 nt
Organism: Dromaius novaehollandiae (emu)
Lineage: Eukaryota; Metazoa; Chordata; Aves; Casuariiformes; Dromaiidae
Exons: 3
Source: RefSeq, a predicted model, not a curated record